Molecule: ribosomal RNA, 387 nt
Filed under: uncultured bacterium
Lineage: Bacteria
Description: bacterial SSU rRNA
Rfam family: Archaeal small subunit ribosomal RNA
Source: RNAcentral
GCGCGAAAACUUUACAAUGCUGGCAACAGCGAUAAGGGAACCUCGCGUGCCAGGUUACAAAUCUGGCUGUCGAGAUGCCUAAAAAGCAUUUCAUAGCAAGGGCCGGGCAAGACCGGUGCCAGCCGCCGCGGUAACACCGGCGGCUCGGGUGGCAACCGUUAUUAUUGGGUCUAAAGGGUCUGUAGCCGGCCGGAUAAGUCUCUUGAGAAAUCUGGCAGCUUAACUGUCAGGCUUUCAGGAGAUACUGUCUGGCUCGAGGCCGGGAGAGGUGAGAGGUACUUCAGGGGUAGGGGUGAAAUCUUGUAAUCCUUGAAGGACCACCAGUGGCGAAGGCGUCUCACCAGAACGGACCUGACGGCAAGGGACGAAAGCUAGGGGCACGAACCG